GUAGCUACAAACAUUAAUUUCCUUUUAAAAAUUGUCAGUCGUAAGGAGUUUGCAGUGGGAAAUGUAGAAAACGAGUAAAGAUGUUGUAAUCCCACACCACAACACAAUCACAAGCGCAUGAGUAAGCUUUAUGUGCCGGGUUAGUUUUGGUUAUGGGUCUUUCCCAACAAGGAAAGCUCAUGCAGUGUAGAAUUGGUUGAGGCGACCAGAAACAAUUAACCUUGGAUGGCCAUAUGAGCCAUUCCAGGUACCUGAGGAUCGGAGGAUGUCAAAAGAUAAGUAGAACCUAAACUACACGUCUGUUUCUGCUUGUGUGUAAUGACACCCUGCUUCGGUAAUUUAUUAUAAUUGGUUACGUUUUCUAGCCAUUGGAGUCAUCACACGACAAAAGGCCACAUACUUGAAGAACAACAUCAAUUCAAGAAGAAGGUAGGAUGAGAAUUAUCUGAAGAAGGUGUCUAAAAAAGGAAAGCAAACGAGUGAAGAUGAUGUAAUCACACGAAGAGAGUCACCAACGCAUGAGUAAGCGUUCUAAACUUCAUAUUUUGAGUGUCUUUUUUUAUUAUAGUCUUGACCACUAGACGUAUGAUUUUGUCUUGUGUCAACAUGUUUUGUUGUGUUGUGAACUUAUUAUUGAUUCAAUCAAUCAAACCACUAUGGACGUGAUGUAUUUGUGCUUGCUAUCUGAUCUCUUGCCUUGAUAGUAGUAGCAUUACUAGGGACAAACAGGGUUGCUGUUUGCAAAUCUCUGGUGAAUGUUAUUUCAAUCUCCCACUUGUUUCUUGUUCUAUCCUAUCUUAUGCUCUGAGUGCCUUUUUUUAUUUCUUCAUGGGAGUGAGUGAUACUAGUGAUAUGUGUGACCAAUGAUGAUUCAUCAGAUGGGAGUGAGUGAUUCAUCAUAUGUUGCUUUCUAAAUUGUGAUAUGUGGCCAUUUAGUUGAGUAGUACUGUUGUAUGUUUUGCACCUGCCUCGUUUGAUUCUCUCUUAUUAAUCACUCACUCAAUCAUCUUUUCUAAUCAUAACCCCAAAUGUUGAUUGGACCUCCAACAUCUCUGCAAUCAGAGACAUGGGUCUUAUAAACAAGUGCAUCUAAGAGAAUGUUGUGUGGGCUGCUGGAGUUCCUUCCGUGCCUGGAUAUCAUCAUGGCCAUAAGCAAGAUAUUGAUCAUAUGAAGUCAUAGCAAGAUAUCAUGUUAUGUAAUAUGUUAUGACUUACUUAUGUGACAAAUAAUGAUUCGUCAGAUGUGAUACUCAAAGCCACACGCUGUUCUUUGAAUGUUACUUUCACUGACUACCAUGAGAGCUGCGAUGAGAAUCUCGGCUGACUACACCAUUUCUGACAACUCAAGCCGGAUGUGAUCUUGAUCGUAAGUGGAUCAGAGCUAGAGAUUGUAGUUCAAGCUGCAGACGAUUUAAGUAAAGAAGGGAAACCGUGAGAGUAGUUUCGUUUGUAUCCAAGGGAGCUUUUCGACGAGCAAUCUGAUGCAUUAAAGAUCUGGUGUAAUCAGAGCUUUUCGACGAGCAAUGAGAUUCGUUUUGAGGCAAGUGCACCAGUAGGGAAGCUUUAUAAAGAGUUUGAUAUCAUCAUUGUAGCUAUGGCUGCUACAGCUAAGUCACUUGUAUAAAAAAGAGUAUCUUAUCUUACCGGUACUGAAAUUUUUGAAUUUCAAUUUCGUAAGAAGAGACGUUCACUUUA
Molecule: non-coding RNA, 1695 nt
Organism: Camelina sativa (false flax)
Lineage: Eukaryota; Viridiplantae; Streptophyta; Magnoliopsida; Brassicales; Brassicaceae
Source: RefSeq, a predicted model, not a curated record